Molecule: transfer RNA, 72 nt
Organism: Astyanax mexicanus (Mexican tetra)
Lineage: Eukaryota; Metazoa; Chordata; Actinopteri; Characiformes; Acestrorhamphidae
Rfam family: tRNA
About the family: Transfer RNA (tRNA) molecules are approximately 80 nucleotides in length. Their secondary structure includes four short double-helical elements and three loops (D, anti-codon, and T loops).
Source: Rfam
GCCGUGAUCGUAUAGUGGUUAGUACUCUGCGUUGUGGUCGCAACAGCCCCGGUUCGAAUCCGGGUCACGGCA